GAUUAAGUUAUUAAGGGCGCACGGUGGAUGCCUUGGCACUAGAAGCCGAUGAAGGACGUUACUAACGACGAUAUGCUUUGGGGAGCUGUAAGUAAGCUUUGAUCCAGAGAUUUCCGAAUGGGGAAACCCAGCAUGAGUUAUGUCAUGUUAUCGAUAUGUGAAUACAUAG
RNAcentral lists this ribosomal RNA (169 nucleotides) under Staphylococcus aureus. Its description in RNAcentral is "partial 23S ribosomal RNA". It matches the Rfam family "Bacterial large subunit ribosomal RNA", at positions 1 to 169 of the family's 2925-position model. Lineage: Bacteria; Bacillati; Bacillota; Bacilli; Caryophanales; Staphylococcaceae. The record is from RNAcentral.